Prunus persica (peach) is the source of this 824-nucleotide long non-coding RNA. RefSeq lists it as uncharacterized. The transcript is spliced from 5 exons. Lineage: Eukaryota; Viridiplantae; Streptophyta; Magnoliopsida; Rosales; Rosaceae. The record is from RefSeq and is a predicted model, not a curated record.
UUACUUUUCUACAGAGUGAUCGUUUGCUUCCAACCAGCUUGGUUAGGCUGGUUGGGGGGCAGCCAUGGGAUACAUGGCUUCGGUUUUCGGGAUUCGUUUGAGGCGUCGAUUUCCAUUUGGGAUGGCGCUUUGCGAAUCUCACCGUUCGUUUAGUCUUCAUCUCAUCUCAUGUGUCGUUCGUUCAGCCAUUCCAAAGUUCGUCUGAGAGAUUUUCAAUCUGCGAGUUCUUUCAUCCUCUGUCCAACGUUCGUCUAAUAGAUUUUCGAUCUACCAGUUCUUCCAUUGUUUCUCUUCAGGUUUUGCAAGAUGAUGGUAGUGUAUGAGAGCGUCAAGAGGAGGCUGUGAGUAGAAGGCGGUUCUUUGCAGGCUAGACAAGCAAAAGUUCCCUCUUUGGACUUGCUCCACUUGAAGCAGUGCUAUUUAAUAUUGAUAGAACUCCAUGUGAUUUAGAUCCUAUUCAUUUCAAUGCCUUCCACAAAAUGCUUCUAUAGUUUUUGCAAGAUGUUAACAGUGUACAAGAGAAUCCAGAAGAGGCUAUGAGUAGAAGGAGGUUCUUUGCAGGUAUUGUGCUACAAAUUUCAAGUGGAACCAAGUGUUAUUUUACUAAGAUUUGUAGGUGUUGUGACAUAAAUGGCAAUACAGUUUAUUUUUGUACUAUAUCAGCUUACUUCCUCAUUGGAUUAAACUUAGUCUAUAAAUGGCAAUAUAUGUAUAAGUUUUGACCAUAGGUGUCUAUAGAUUUUCUAUGCUUCUGUACAACAAACUUGCGCAAGGUUUAUGGGUAUUUGGUUUGAUUUUAUUAAAGUUUGGAUCUUUUGGUUGCA